RNAcentral lists this ribosomal RNA (261 nucleotides) under Verrucomicrobia bacterium 13_1_20CM_4_54_11. Its description in RNAcentral is "partial 23S ribosomal RNA". It matches the Rfam family "Bacterial large subunit ribosomal RNA", at positions 1 to 257 of the family's 2925-position model. The record is from RNAcentral. Lineage: Bacteria; Pseudomonadati; Verrucomicrobiota.
UUGAUCAAGCUACAAAGAGCGCAUCAUGGAUGCCUUGGUGCCAAUAGGCGAUGAAGGACGUGGUAAGCUGCGAUAAGCUACGGACAGCGGCAAACACGCUUUGACCCGUAGAUUUCCGAAUGGGGUAACCUGAGCGAGGUAACACUUGCUCGAGUUCCUGUGAAUUCAUAGCAGGAACAUCGCGACACCCGGUGAAGUGAAACAUCUCAGUAACCGGAGGAAAAGAAAUCGAAAGAGAUUCCGUCAGUAGUGGCGAGCGAA